UUUGUUGAAAUACUGUGUCACAUUUGCUGAAUUAUAACUAAUAAAGGUUGUUUGUUCUUUCUGAAUUUAUUGAAGAAUAAAAUCGUAAGAUCAUUAAUCCCAUCCCAUUUCUUCAACCGUCCGGUUGAUUUCAAACGGACAGGCCCAAUCGUCUGGAUUGGUUGCAUGGAAAUAAUUCGGGAUUCCAUUCUGGAGAUCCCGGGUUCGUCUCUCGAAUCCCAUCCGCUUGAAAAUGUACAUCAUGCUGUCUGGGCCUUGCGCAUCGAUACCUUAUCUUCAAGUCUAGCUGAUCCCACCAGCUGUUAUAGGCUGCCUUCCGAUUCACAUGGGUGGGCAGCCUAUACAAAGACUUGUUUCGUCCCGCCAUUUGGUAUUCUUUCAAAAUGGAAAGUGACGUCAUUUGUUGAGAAAAAAGAAUGGUCCGGUCUUCGUCCCGUUGAACCACUAUAAAAAUAGGAAAUAUGAAAUCCAAAAUUAAAUCCAGAUUCUUCAUGAGAGUAAAUAAAUGCUACUCCUACCUGCUAUCCGAUCAAUUCUUCCUUUUUACAAAAUUUAUACAAGAUAAAGUCAUGCUAGUCGAUGCUUUCUGUUAUACAGUUCUUUUUUUCAACAAAUGAUACAACAUUCUGGAAGAAAACUAAAUGGUGGGGUACUUCCACUGGCUGCCUAGUCCUGUGGAGGUCAGUCGGAUUGUGCAGGGCGGGGAUCGACGGGCAGGCCCGGACUCCAUGAUAAAUAUUUUCAAGGUAUGUGACCGAGAUUCGAACCCUGGUUUUCCAAAGUGAAAGACAAAC
RNAcentral lists this long non-coding RNA (794 nucleotides) under Androctonus crassicauda. The record is from RNAcentral. Lineage: Eukaryota; Metazoa; Arthropoda; Arachnida; Scorpiones; Buthidae.